Long non-coding RNA from Molossus molossus (Pallas's mastiff bat), 1021 nucleotides. RefSeq lists it as uncharacterized. The transcript has 5 exons. NCBI's taxonomy places the organism in Eukaryota, Metazoa, Chordata, Mammalia, Chiroptera, Molossidae. The record is from RefSeq and is a predicted model, not a curated record.
GUGCGGAGGCCCUGCUGGGGGACAGGACUCUGAGCUCGAUCAGCAUCCAGCUAGUUAUCAUCUCUUCCCAGCCGCCUCAGUUACAGGGCCUCUCGUUUCUGUCACCACCACCACGAGCAAGUACAAGCACUCAUGCCCUCUCGCCCACCAGUCAGCAGCACCUGUUAACAUGUGUGGUUUGGGAUACGUAAAGUCGUGGAAAACCGGGUGUCUGGCCUGGAGGAGCCCAUGACAGCCCUCCGUGAAACAGACAGACAGACAGACCAAUCGCUGGAGUGACUUCACCAGUGCUUUUGCAGCCAUCAUCUUCUCUUGACCUUAUGUCCUCUUUACAGUGCCCUUCGGGAACUCCUCAUAGCUCUGACCCUACCCGUCUUUAGCUUAAAACCUGUAGUCCUUCUUUUCUUACAGAAUGAAGAUUCGCCGUUGAGACUGGUCCCAGGAGCACACCUUUUAUACCCUGCCUACCCUUCUUUCCUCUACUGCUUUCUGCUCCUGCCCACUCAUCAGAGAUGGAUUCAGAUGACAAGGUUCCCUGAAGCCUCCCGGACCGCCUAGGGACUUGCAUGUGAUUUGCCAUUAAACAUCAUGUCCCAAAUUGCAAUUCUUUGCUGUUCCUGAAUAAACCCAUGUUGCUGGAGAAAUGUCCGGCUGGCUAUUUGUUGAAGGAAGUGCACAGUGUACCCCGGCCGCAGUGUGGGCCUGCCAUUCCCAGCGUGAACACAGCCCUCGCCUGUUGGUUCCUCAGCGCCCUGGGGAGACGGCCAGCAAGCGUGCGAGCUCGGGAGCGGUACUGGGCAAAGGUUCCCGUCCACGAGGGUCUGGACUUCUGUUCAUAGGUCAUGUCAAUGUCAUGAAGGCCCCUCAACAGCUGGUAGAGGAGCAUCCCCACCAUGGGCUGCAGAUCCCUGUGAUGGGAGGAAUGUCAGAGUCACAGCAAAGAGGCGGAAGUGGGGUGGCAGUAACCCAUAUGUACAUGUCAACUGUCUUAAUCGAGUAUUAUUAAAAAUGCAACCAUUGC